GCCUGCCUAGCUCAAUCGGAUAGAGCGUGAGACUUUUACGAACCAGGGAAUCCCUGGGGUACUUCAUCUCAAGGCUGCGGGUUCGACCCCCGCGGUGGGCU
Non-coding RNA from Trametes gibbosa, 101 nucleotides. NCBI's taxonomy places the organism in Eukaryota, Fungi, Basidiomycota, Agaricomycetes, Polyporales, Polyporaceae. The record is from the annotation of a GenBank genome assembly.